GUUAAAAAGCUCGUAGUUGGAUUUCUGGGAGGGUGCCAAUGUCCGUCAACGUGCGUGUGCAGCGGCGCCCUUCCAUCCUUCUGUUAACGCCUCUGGGCAUUUAUUUGCUGGUGGCGGGCUCAGAUAUUUUACCUUGAGAAAAUUAGAGUGUUUCAGGCAGGCUAGGCCGGAAUACAUUAGCAUGGAAUAAUAGAAUAGGACUAUGGUCUCUUUGUUGGUUUGAGGGACUAUGGUAAUGAUUAAUAGGGAUAGUUGGGGGCAUUAGUAUUUAAUUGUCAGAGGUGGAAUUCUCAGAUUUGU
Molecule: ribosomal RNA, 300 nt
Filed under: uncultured eukaryote
Lineage: Eukaryota
Description: SSU rRNA
Rfam family: Eukaryotic small subunit ribosomal RNA
Source: RNAcentral